AGUGAACGCUGGCGGUAGGCCUAACACAUGCAAGUCGAACGGCAGCACAGUAAGAGCUUGCUCUUACGGGUGGCGAGUGGCGGACGGGUGAGGAAUACAUCGGAAUCUACUUUUUCGUGGGGGAUAACGUAGGGAAACUUACGCUAAUACCGCAUACGACCUACGGGUGAAAGCAGGGGAUCUUCGUACCUUGCGCGAUUGAAUGAGCCGAUGUCGGAUUAGCUAGUUGGCGGGGUAAAGGCCCACCAAGGCGACGAUCCGUAGCUGGUCUGAGAGGAUGAUCAGCCACACUGGAACUGAGACACGGUCCAGACUCCUACGGGAGGCAGCAGUGGGGAAUAUUGGACAAUGGGCGCAAGCCUGAUCCAGCCAUACCUCGUGGGUGAAGAAGGCCUUCGGGUUGUAAAGCCCUUUUGUUGGGAAAGAAAAGCAGCAGGUUAAUACCCCGCUGUUCUGACGGUACCCAAAGAAUAAGCACCGGCUAACUUCGUG
RNAcentral lists this ribosomal RNA (492 nucleotides) under uncultured bacterium. Its description in RNAcentral is "partial 16S ribosomal RNA". It matches the Rfam family "Bacterial small subunit ribosomal RNA", at positions 29 to 507 of the family's 1533-position model. The record is from RNAcentral.